Molecule: unclassified non-coding RNA, 200 nt
Filed under: Oryza sativa (Asian cultivated rice)
Lineage: Eukaryota; Viridiplantae; Streptophyta; Magnoliopsida; Poales; Poaceae
Description: precursor microRNA 156l
Source: RNAcentral
AAACGAUUGAGCCAUGGAGGAGGAUGUCAUGGGGGAGGGGGGCAGUUGAGACUUGAGAGUGAUGACAGAAGAGAGAGAGCACAACCCGGCAGCAGCGACGACGGCGGUCGCUUCUGCCAGGGCCGUGUGCUCUCUGAUCUAUCUGUCAUUGCCGUCCAUCUCGCCACCCCGGCCGUCGUCUCUCCGCCAUGGCCAUCGAC